RNAcentral lists this long non-coding RNA (672 nucleotides) under Mus spicilegus (steppe mouse). Its description in RNAcentral is "lncRNA (ENSMSIG00000009710.1)". The record is from RNAcentral. Lineage: Eukaryota; Metazoa; Chordata; Mammalia; Rodentia; Muridae.
UGGAGUUACCUAGAUUUAUGCUGCUCCUGUCAGUCUGUCUUCUCUCCUGCUGUUGCAGUGCCUUGGAGGAGAAGCAGGACCUACCAUCAGAAUCAGGUCCAGUAACUCUGGUGUUAUGGUAUAAGUUAGAAAAAUUCAUAAAAUUUAAUGAAGAAAUUACUAAAAGAGAAAUACCUGGAAUUUACAGCCAGCCUGUCCGGAAUCGAAGGGAAAUCAUGGAGGAAGGCAAGGAAAACAUCUUAGAUAUUCUGAGAUUGGAUGAGAUUCUUGGUAAGGAUCCUGAGUUUCAGCUGCAAGAAAUGAGCAUUCCCUUCUCCCGGAAAUUCAACUCUUUUAUGCAGCAGCUGAAAGAAGCCAAAAAACUUCCCAUGAAAGAGAAGUGAAGAGACUUACAAAGUUUUCUGCCUGUUUUAUCUGAAACUUCAGAGAUGGAUUCCAAGGCAACUGUAAACAUCAUAAACACAUCAUUCUAAACUCUUAAGACACAACCUAACUGCAAAGUGCUAAUCCUGUCUGCAAAGAGCUCAGUAUCCUGUUUAUGCAUAUAGUCCCUCCCUUGCUCUCUCCUCCUUCAAUCUUGGGAAAGGCUUCCUGUCCUUAAGAGAGGCAUGCUUGCUUUGUGUAAAAUGUUCUCGGGUUCUCUGAAAUAAACCUUCCUACUCUUUGAGUCCA